UACUCCGCUACUUCAGGCAAGAACCAUGUUAUACACCCAGCCCUCUCCACACCAAAAACUGCAGUACUAGUCUCACUCUUACUGGACUUGGCGGUGCCCCAGUCCCACUUAGAGGAGCCUGUUCUAUAACCGAUAAUCCCCGUUAAACCUCACCAUCUCUUGCUAUUACCGCCUAUAUACCGCCGUCGUCAGCUUACCCUGUGAAAGCCAAAAAGUAAGCACAAAAAACUUAACUCUUAUACGUCAGGUCGAGGUGUAGCGAAUGAAAUGGAAAGAAAUGGGCUACAUUCUUUAAUCAAAAAAUACGAACGGUAUACUGAAAGAUUAACCCAAAGGUGGAUUUAGCAGUAAGAGAAGACCAGAAAACUUCCCUGAAACUGGCCCUAGGGCGCGCACACACCGCCCGUCACCCUAACCCACCGGACGUGCGUUCGUCUGUUUUUUUUUUUGUGGCCCCCCCCUCACAUCGGCGCGCUGGGGGGGGGAAAAGAAAAAAAAAAACUCCUCUUGGGGGGGGGG
Molecule: ribosomal RNA, 519 nt
Filed under: Chiloscyllium griseum (grey bambooshark)
Lineage: Eukaryota; Metazoa; Chordata; Chondrichthyes; Orectolobiformes; Hemiscylliidae
Description: partial 12S ribosomal RNA
Source: RNAcentral